This 532-nucleotide ribosomal RNA is filed under the name uncultured bacterium. RNAcentral's name for it is "bacterial SSU rRNA". It matches the Rfam family "Bacterial small subunit ribosomal RNA", at positions 977 to 1509 of the family's 1533-position model. The record is from RNAcentral.
GGCCUUGACAUACUAAGAACUUUCCAGAGAUGGAUUGGUGCCUUCGGGAACUUAGAUACAGGUGCUGCAUGGCUGUCGUCAGCUCGUGUCGUGAGAUGUUGGGUUAAGUCCGCAACGAGCGCAACCCUUUUCCUUAUUUGCCAGCGGGUCAUGCCGGGAACUUUAAGGAUACUGCCAGUGACAAACUGGAGGAAGGCGGGGACGACGUCAAGUCAUCAUGGCCCUUACGGCCAGGGCUACACACGUGCUACAAUGGUCGGUACAAAGGGUUGCUACCUCGCGAGAGGAUGCUAAUCUCAAAAAGCCGAUCGUAGUCCGGAUCGCAGUCUGCAACUCGACUGCGUGAAGUCGGAAUCGCUAGUAAUCGCGGAUCAGAAUGCCGCGGUAAAUACGUUCCCGGGCCUUGUACACACCGCCCGUCACACCAUGGGAGUUUGUUGCACCAGAAGUAGGUAGUCUAACCGCAAGGAGGACGCUUACCACGGUGUGGCCGAUGACUGGGGUGAAGUCGUAACAAGGUAAGCGUAGAUGA